Molecule: ribosomal RNA, 286 nt
Filed under: uncultured bacterium
Lineage: Bacteria
Description: partial 16S ribosomal RNA
Rfam family: Bacterial small subunit ribosomal RNA
Source: RNAcentral
ACUCCUACGGGAGGCAGCAGUGGGAAUAUUGCACAAUGGGAAGCCAUCGAUGCAGCCAUGCCGCGCUGUGUGAAGAAGGCCAAUUCGGGCUUGGUUAAAGACACUUUUCAGCGAGGAGGAAAAGGGUGUGUGCUAAUACCAUACAUCUGUGACGUUACUCGCAGAAGAAGCACCGGCUAACUCCGUGCCAGCAGCCGCGGUAAUACGGAGGGUGCGAGCGUUAAUCGGAAUUACUGGGCGUAAAGCGUGCGCAGGCGGUUUGUUAAGCGAGAUGUGAAAGCCCGCC